UUGACCUCGGAUCAGGUAGGACUACCCGCUGAACUUAAGCAUAUCAAUAAGCGGAGGAAAAGAAACCAACAGGGAUUGCCCCAGUAACGGCGAGUGAAGCGGCAACAGCUCAGAUUUGGAAUCUGGUCCCCAGGGCCCGAGUUGUAAUCUGGAGAGGAUGCUUCUGGCGCGGCGCCUUCCGAGUUCCCUGGAACGGGACGCCGGAGAGGGUGAGAGCCCCGUACGGUUGGACGCCUAGCCUUUGUGAAGCUCCUUCGACGAGUCGAGUAGUUUGGGAAUGCUGCUCAAAAUGGGAGGUAAAUUUCUUCUAAAGCUAAAUACCGGCCAGAGACCGAUAGCGCACAAGUAGAGUGAUCGAAAGAUGAAAAGCACUUUGAAAAGAGGGUCAAACAGUACGUGAAAUUGUUGAAAGGGAAGCGCCCGUGGCCAGACUUGUGCCCCGCGGACCACCCGGCGCCCUCAGCGCCGGUGCACUCCGCGGGGCGCAGGCCAGCAUCGGUUUUCCCAGGGGGAUAAAGGCGGCGGGAACGUGGCUCCCUCGGGAGUGUUAUAGCCCGCCGCGCCAUGCCCCUGGGGGGACCGAGGACCGCGCUUCGGCAAGGAUGCUG
This 608-nucleotide ribosomal RNA is filed under the name Leptographium lundbergii. Its description in RNAcentral is "eukaryotic LSU rRNA". It matches the Rfam family "Eukaryotic large subunit ribosomal RNA", at positions 1 to 628 of the family's 3401-position model. Lineage: Eukaryota; Fungi; Ascomycota; Sordariomycetes; Ophiostomatales; Ophiostomataceae. The record is from RNAcentral.